UUAACUUUAAUAUUCAACUGUCACUAACUACGGCCACCACUGUACAGCCAACAAUAAUCAAUUUUCACCGGCACUCUGCUCAAACUCAAACACACAACACGAACAUCCCAACCGAACAAGCAACCACAAACAUGUGCCAAACGAACCACUAAGUUCGAAGUUCGAAGCGAACAGCAACGAACAUUUCUCAAAAUUCUUGCCAUUCAAACGCUAUACGCCAACGAGUUGUCGGAGUGUUCGGACGUGUGCAACUGUAGUAGCGCUUAAUUAACGCUAGUCCGCCGUUUAAACAGAGUAGAAAAAAAGAAAAAAAAUAAAGCUAAAAAAGAAAUACCGUGCGCUAGUCAUAGCCAGCAAAUGCGGAGCCGAGAGCGCUGCGAAUCGCGUUUAUAAUUAAACGCAAGUGGAAAAGGCAAAGAAAUAUAUUAGUGUUGUAAAAAUACAAAUGAAAUAAUCAAAAUAAUAGAAUCAAAGCAGAAAAUAUAAGUGAAAAAAACACGAAGUGUGUAAAUAUAUAAUCUAAGAAAUAGCGGCAUCGUGGAACGAGUGUCUCUGCUAGUGACGAGUGCGUUUGAAGACGAGCAAAAAGUUUUGUGUUAUGUAUUUGUGAUAGCGGCCGAUCACAAAGGCAACGUGAUUUGUGAAUUAUUUGCAUAGUGCGAUAUCAAAGGCGUGUUGCCGACGAUAUUACAACAUACAAAUUAAGAAUACCCGAAAAAUAAAAGAAAUAACAAAAAAAUAACAAAAAAAUACAACAACAAAAAUAAGAAUAUUUAAAGCACAUUAAAAAGUUAAAUAUCGCUUUUUAGACGUAUUAAGCUCCAUUAGUCGCUCGAAAGCCGCACAACAACAAUAAAUAAGCAAGUGAAAAGUGUGCAUACAUUUGUUGUUGUUUUAUUACAUUAAUACAUAAAAUCACACGUAAAAAUAUGGCCCAUUCAACCGCCGGAAUGGCCGGCCAACGGAAUGCCGCAAAUCAGAAAAAACAACAACAACUCCCACUAUUCACGCUGCUGCAAGUUUGCAUUGCCCUCUUAGUGGCCAGCAGUUGUUUGGCAUUGCCAACGGUGGCUCAGGCGAAGCAUCUCGAUGGUGCUCAUCAUUUUCAUGCACAUCAUGAACUGCAACAACAACAACAGGAGCACCACGCACAUCACAGGCACCGCUUGCAACGCGAUUCGACCAGCAAGAUUUUGAACACACGCGAACAAUGCAACAGCGUGCGGGAUUACUUCGAGACGAUCGACAUUAAGUUGAGCGGCAACUUUGAGGAAAAAGGUAAAAAAUGAAAAUGUAUAGUUAUCUAAAAGUGUUAGAAUAUUACUAACAACUUGUUGCUGUUGCCUUCGAUGGGUAAUCAUAAAAAUACGUGAAUAUGAAACAGAAAAAACUGGUUUUCAAUCAAAGAGAAAUCGUCGAUUUUGUAAGCUAGUAAAAAUUCAAACUAUAUGGAGAGUGUUACAACAACCAUGGCGAAAUUUCCUUUGUAAUGUACUCAAAAUUGUCAGCUAACUCUCCCUACAUACCUUUUUCUAAGCGUCCGCACCAGUUAAAGUAGUCCCUAUUUUCCCAAUCGACGUCACCGCAAUGAGCAGCCCGAUAAGAUCUACGAAUCCUGCGUGUUUUUUAAAUCAUAUUAUAUAUUUGUUGAAAUAUGUGAAAGCUCAAAAAGCCUUGAUGAAAGCUCGUAAUGUUUUGACGAAAGCUCACAUUAUUUUGAUGAACGAUCUCAUAUUUUUAUUGAAAGCUUAUUUGGACAAAACAUUAUUUAAUCCCAUCAUUAAUGCUAAAUCUAGUAUCCUUUUGAGAGUUCAUUAAAGUUUAUUGAUAUGUUUUAAUUCUCUGUUAAGCAUUUCACAGGUGAUUUGGAAACUAUUGCUUAUGAGAUUAUAUUCAUAUAUAACUGGCAAUACUUGAAUAAUAUUGUUCCUAACUAUGGAUCACCGAAUAUAAAUAAUUGUCAGUACGACACAAAAACUGUCCAUGAGAGAACGAUAAAUAAUUUAUUUUCACAGUUUUAUUUAAGCACAUCGAAUCCUGUUCAACUUUGCUUUCAUGUUUGCAGUAACCUGUCAGAGUCUGUUGACAGCUAAUCAAUCGGGCGACAAUUAGAUUGAAAGUUAUUUAUAUAUCGUUUUUGUUUGUACAUAUUUCAUGGCCUUCCUGUGACGUUUCCCAAAAGGCACUAAAUACACGUUUUAAUAUAUUCCAUUUUAAUGGCCCUUUUUCCUUUGAUUUCAUUGAUUUGCUGUCAAAAAGCAUACAGAACAAGUGGAAACUAGUUGUGGCGGUGGAUAUGAAACGCAGAGAGUUGUCACCGUUUUAUGUACUAAAGGAAUAUAAUUUGCUUUCCAGGUUGCAUAAAAGUGUAAAUUUAAAUAAAUUGGGUAGAUAUGUAUAUAUUUUAGGACUUAUAAAAACUUCAGAUUCAUUGUAGAACUUCACUAAUUUCUCCGAAGCAGAUAUAACUAAUACCGAGGAUUAACAACCUGUUACCGAGGUCAUUUAACUAUUUUAUACACAGGACUAUGUGUAUACUUAUGUUUGUACUAGUAUAUGCAAAUGUUUAUGCAACACAACUCAAAUUACCUCAGGUGCAUACUACACUGUUUGAUUUUUAUUGCUGUUACAUACCAUCGGCCAUUGCAAAAGUGCAACGAUGCAAAAAGUCAAAUUUUGAAACUUGAAUGGGCAACGAGCACCAGCAUAUGCAGCACUCUCUGCCACAUACUUAUGCACGUAUAUAUUUACGAUACAAGCGUUACAUGAAACACGAGCUCCUAUGUAUAGCGGAACUGCAUGGAUGAUGGCCAGCGGCUAACACCAGCGUAAACGCUAUCGAAGCCACGGCAGAACGAAAUCAGAACACAUCACUGCGACUCGAUAUCCAUACAAACAUACAUACAACCGCUGAACUACAGUUAAAGUUCAGCUUUUGCCCCUUCAGCUUCAAUUUCGUUUGCAAAGAACAACAGUAACGGUAAUUGUUAUUGAAGAUGAUAGUGUUUUUAUUGUUGUUGUUGCUGGUUUAUGCCACGACAAACUAACUGUUAUUCAAUGCCGACAAAUAAUCGAAUUUUCUAAUUGGUAGGUGUACAAAGUCCCUGACCAGCAAAUGAAGGUAGGAACGGACCAACGAACAGACAGACAACCACACGGAUGGAUGGCCGAGCAAACAUUCGGUUCGGAUGACUACGGUGUAGCACCCGAUAAAUGGCAUAGCUACUGACUGCUAACUGUUGGCUGCUAAUGGCCGAGCAAACAUUCGGUUCGGAUGACUACGGUGUAGCACCCGAUAAAUGGCAUAGCUACUGACUGCUAACUGUUGGCUGCUAAUGUUUCUCUGACUAGAAUUACAACGCCACAAAAUCGUAAAAGUUAAGGGCUUGCUGUAACGGUAAUGCGCGAAGUCUAUCCGCGCUUGUUAGUUGUUCGCUAGGUUUUCACCAGCAAAGGUGGCGGCACUAAAUCAUCGACAACCGACACUGACACACAUGCAUACAACGACGCUCGCCAGUCGAGUCCAGCUUCAGUUUCGUUUCGAGAGCCAACAACAACAAUUGCUUGCACACAAUAGUUCAAUGUUCGCUUCCAUUCGAUCAGCUAUCUUACAUACGAACAUAUCGAUAACAGCAGCAACAACAAUAACAACAAAAUUGGUUGCGAAACUUGCAACAAUAACAACAGUAGUGUACCAUAUUUCCGAACAAUUGCCGUGGGCAUCGAUUGACGGUUGCUUCGGUGACUGACUGUUGGAUGAUUAGAAUGCCUACAGGGGAUUAGCGGUUUUAUAGCGGUUUAUUCGAGCGUUGGAAUGCGCACACACAUCUAAAUGUUGUUGUGGUAGGUGCACUGCUGAAUUGCUGAUGCUAGGGGUUUAAAGUUGCACCAAUUUUCGAGAACUUAAAGCUUCCAAUUUCGUCUGAUAUCUAAGUGAAGUGCCUAGCUUUGGAAUGCAGAAAUAUCUGUUAUACAGAUCAGAUACAAUAGGUUGAUAUCGCUAAAACUAUUAAAUAGUAUUACACCUAAAAUAUUUUGGUGAUGUGUUGCCACUUGUUUAUAUUUAAUUUAUGCAAUUCAAUAAAAAAAGAAUAAUUCAAUAUAACAUUCUAGACAUAAAAAACACGUUUAAUAAACUUUCACAAAAUUUUGCUUUGAAAAAUGUAUAUAUAAUGAACCUUCGAAUAAGUUAUCACAUAAAUUAUUUGAACUUCCUAUUCCUUCAUAAUCGCAAAAAAACUCUUUCACCUAAAUAAACUUGCAAUUUUUCACAAAUUAAACACGAUUAAUAUCAAAGAAUUAUAUUCAAACGCCAUGCAACACAGCCAUAGAUAACGAAAGCUUCAAAUACUAGACAGUAUUCAUUAUAAGGCAAAUAUUUGCACAACAGAUAAUAAAUGGUUUUUUAAAUCAGCAACAAUAACAACUACGCACGAAAAAAUAAUCGCAAAUUAAUUGCAAUUGUUGGCGAAUUAAUGAAAUCGCGUGAUAUUUUAAUUGCGAAUAAUGAAAAGCAUAUCACAAGUGAGGCAUUAACACAACAACAAACAUGCUGCCACAUUGCAUGCCAGGCAACAUAAAUUGUGGUAUUAAUAAAAAAUAAUUGCAAUAUCAGCAGCACAAUUGAAGCAGCCAACAACAAUAACGAUGAUAUCAAGAACGUAAAAUUCACAUGAAAACGAAACGAAACAAUGCGGAAGCGAUCAGAGUGCAACAACAAGAGUGAAAUUGCAGCAUUUACUUGGACGCUGUGGGUGCUUGGGUGCCAAUUGGAGCGCGGAGGUUAUCGGCAUCAUGAUUUCAGCACAUUUUCAUAAUUAACCGAGGACUGCAGGAAAUUAGAAUUUGUGGCAACAGCGCCAAUCCAGCACUCGGCGGCUCAACGAUCACAUUGGCUAGAUGCGAUGACAUUGCAUUCGGGCAAAAAGCGUACUGUGUUGCAAUGUGGAAUGCAAAAAUUCUGCAAACGAAAUCAAAAAUCUCGGAUUAUGAGUAUGUCGAUACAUAUGCAAUGGGCGCAAAAUAAUCGAGGUCAUCAAAAGCGCAUAGAUAGCAAAGCAGCGGGUUAAUGGGAGAGACCCAUGAACAACCGAGAGAACAGAGACAGAGUUUUCAGUGCAGUGGCUUUUAAUUAAUGUUUGGGAAUGGUUGCGCAAGUGAUCGAUAGGAGAGGGGUCCACAAUAUGGUGUAUUAAAUUACUGCUUAAAAAAAAAAAUACUGAAAAUUCAAUCCAUUUAGUAUCCACAAAUAUUCAUUGAUAGGCUUGAGGUUAAAACUGACAGGUUUUCCAAGAGUUUAGGGUGAUAUGAUGCAAUCUAAAGAAUAUAAAUAUUUGCUCAACUUUCCAGAUCAAAAUUAUACUUACUUCUCUAAGAAGUCUUUUUAAAUACAUAACUUUUCCCUACUACAACAUGGCAAAAUACGGGAAAGCGCUCAAUUCUGCCCAAAACACCCUUUAUAAGGCAAUAUGUGAUGAAAAUUAUAAAGAAUGAAACUUUCAAGAGAAACCACAAAUAUAUAAGACAAAUGAUAAUAGAAUCUGAUCUUAAAGAUCAUGUUCUGGAUCAUAUUAGUUGCCGUCUAGUAUUUGAAACUAUUGAACAAACUACCGUUAUGCCGACUAUUGUAAACCUAUAGAAACAUAACAGAAAUGGUAAAAUUACUGAAAUGAAAACAACCAUUAGUUAAAAUCAACUCAAUUUAGACAAAAUUAAUAUAAUUUAAUUUGCAUCCGAAAGAACAUGAAACUCCACAAUUUCUGAAUAAAACCAUACUAAAAUAUUUUAGAACUGUAACUAAUGAUUCUUUCACCUAAAUAACGGUUCCGUUUCAGUAUGCCACAUUUUUGUAUGCAAAUUAGUUGCGCUGGCAACAAAAACAAUUGGUGACGCUCGCUGUCAUGCCACAGUAAAUUUAUGAACGACGCCUUGUCACAGAAAAGAACUAAUGUCGAACAAAGUCGUUGCAAAAUGCAAAUGGUGAUGACAGCAACAACUAAAAAAUCGAAGUGAAAAUAAACCAUAUUGAAUAGCAAAUUAUUCACAGCAGCAAUAACAAAAAGCGAAAGCAAAUAAAUACAUAAAUGUAAAUUUCUCACACCAUGCAACACAAGAGAAAAUUACGAUUUGCGCAACAAAAGACACUUGACCGAUAGUGGAUGGACAGCUGCAUGACAUGCAAUUACCGCACUUUUUCCUCUUCAUGUGGUACGUCAACGCUUUCUUUGCAACGGACCCAAGAACAUAAUUGCUAAGUGGCAAGUUGACUAAAUGACAACAUUGUUGGCACCGCUACGCAAUUUGCAUGCGUUGCAAGCAAGACGCGGCGGCUAACUAAAUGAUGCCGCUGCAGUAAACAACAAAACAACAAGAGUGGUGUGGCAGCAGCAUCAUCAGUUGUAGCUUUUAGUGUAGUUGUAGCUAGCAGUGUUGCUGGCUGCAAAGGCACUUGCUUCUUACAAUUUUCACUUUUCUUGUUGUCUGCAGCUUCGUUUCGUUGCUGUAACUGGCGACAAGCAUAUGCCCAGCAUAUUGUUCUUUUCUACUUGCAAUUGUUGUAAUUGUUUGUGGCAUGUUUUGUAUUGUUUCGUUUGACAGACAACAUUCUUUUUUCCAAGCGCUUUACAUGCCGCUUACAACUAGACAUUCGGUGGCAUGUAAUAUAUUAUAUGUAUGUAUGUUUGUAGAAUGCAAAAGUAAACCGUCUGUGGCUCUGAAAUGCCACCAAAUAACAACAACAACUACUAUGAAACUACUAUGUAAAAUGACAGCAGCACAAAAACAAGUGGCGACAAUUGCAGAGCAGUUGUAAUAUUUGCUGUAUUGCAACAUGACAUUUGCAUCAGCGGUAAGCGUUUGUGCAACAACAUGCUAGCCACAAUACAAUAGUGGUACUCAUUUAACGUUGCAAUGAUAUAAAUAUAGUAAAUUUGCAAUAUGGCAACAAAUGUUAAAUGAGCGCUCUUUGGCAAUAUUGUGGUAAUAUCAGCUUAUUGUGAAUUAAUUGUAAGCAUGCCAUGAAUGCCACUGAAAAAGGUCUCGCAUAUUUGCAAGAUUGUCGUAAAAUGAAAUGCAUGUAAAAAUUAACAACUGUUUUACGAUAUUGUAAUUUUGCGAUGUUGCCAUACGUUUACGACGUUAAAUGAGUACCACUAAUAGUUUCGACAACAGCGGAAUAAAAUACAACUGCUAAGCAGCUCUGGGAAUUACGGAAGCCCGCACAAUAGGAAGUAUUUGUGAUGUCUGGGAAUCGGUCGCCACACUAGUCAUAGGAGUACAGUGUGGUUGUUUUCAGAUAUGAGGGCGAAAUGAGAUAUAUAAAAAACUCAAUAUAAACAUUUUUCAAACAUAUGAAUAUGAAAAUGCACCAUCUUAGGGACUAGUUAUUAUUUCGUUAGUUCAUUAUUUACGAUGCUUAAGGGGAUUCGAUCCCCACAUAAUUCACUUGCAACAUGGGAUUGAGAUGCUUUAAGAAGGUGCACACACACAAUUUACAUAAUAUUUCUUAAGAAUUAAUUUUAUAAAAACGAUUUUGUAUGAAGUAAUCUAAAAAACUUAGCACGCAUUUAGAUUUUCUUUAAACAUUUGCAUCAUGCAACAAAUGCCCCUAAUGACAGUCCGCUGACUCUGUGUGUUUUUGGACCGAGAAAAAAAUAUAUUUACGAACUGUGUUGUCGUUGAUUGGGUGUUGCAUGUUUACAACGAUGUCAAAAGCAUAACGAAAUUCGAAAUAGAGUGUUCAAAGAAUUUUCGAUGUGUAACAUUUGGCACAUGCGGCUAAACAAUGCGCCAUGUUGCACUGAGUCUACAAAAAUCGCAUGUACCAAUUGGUGGCACAUAAUAUGCAUAAACAGAAGUACGUAUAGGUGAAAAUGCAGUUGAAUGUGCAUUGAGUUUUGGCAACAUCAACAACUUACAUAAAAUCUAAUACAUAUGCAUUAGGGUGGUUCUCAAAAAUGUCAAUCGCUGAUUUUUGCAACUCAACUGCUUUAAACCUGAAUAACCAAUACCUAAAUUAUUUAAAUAUCCAAUAUUUAUUGUUUCAACUGGAGCUGAUUAGGGUGGGUCACACAAGAGUUAAAGGGUGUCAAAAAAGCGUUUAAACUAAAAUUAGUUUUUUGCACUUAAAAUUAAAUAGGAAAUUUGCAUUAUUUACAAAUAUAAUAGUCUUCACCUUGUGUGUGUACUAAUUAAAUAUAUUCGCAAAAUUUUAGUAUCACCCUAAUAUGCAUGUCUUUACAGAAGUAUAUGCAUGAGUAUAAAAUUAAUCAAAUCUGCUUAAGUAAACUGAAAAUAUCCAAUACUAAAAUUGCGAUUACCAUGUACAGACAUACGAGUCACUCACUAUCAGCCUCAAUGGACUCAAUCGCGGUCAACUCUACAGCCGCCACAAUGCUGUAUAACUCUAAUAAAAUGCACGUCUGCUUAAAUUGCAAUGUAAAGUGUGCAUAUAACCGUAGAUGGCUUACAAAACAUACACAUACACACUCAGUCGCAGCUCAAGCGGCAACAUUCCAGUCUAUUUGAACUUUUGCCACUACGCCAUUUCUACACUAUUAAUUUUCAUAACAUUUAUGCGCUAAUAAAUCCAUUGCCACUAAAUGUAGAUCAACUGUAAAAACAACAACAAAACUACAUAUUGUUGCAGUUAACUUAUAUAGAAAAGCUUCAACCAAACAUUUAGUUGCAUAUUAAUGUCUUUCACUCAGCGGUCGGUACUUAAAAUAAUAUAAAUGUGCUGCAUCUGAACUGCUGCUCUAACUAUAUGCAAAUGGAUGCAACUGUGUGUUGUCCGCUGUGACAAUAUUUUGAUUAGCUGCCCAAACAGAUCGCCAGUGUGGUGCCUCAUGUCGCGGCGCAGCAACCGAACAUCCACAUGGCUGCCAGUGUUGCCCUCUAUUUGCCUAUGCCUCGUUACAUAUGCAGUUAUUUACAAAUCAAUUUUCGUAUGAUUCAACCAACCAAUAAAAUCAACACCUCACUGCAUUCAAUCCUAAAAAACUUUGGUGUGUGGGUAUGAACAAGAAGAAGCUGUGAGUUAGAGAAUACGAAAUUGUUUCAGCUUUCCAUGAAGUGAAAAAAUAAAACAACAACAACAAAAACUAUCUGAACUUUUAUUAGCGUGAGGAACACCGAAAACUUGCUGCAUCGAAGCAAUAAACAAAAGUAAAAAAAAAAACAAAAAAAAACAAUAAAAGAAACAAAAACAAAAAUGACAACAAAAGUAUUUAAACAAACGAAAGUAGCUCAAUAAUCAAACAAAACACUUUUACAUACAAAAACAACAACAAGAAA
RNA transcript from Zeugodacus cucurbitae (melon fly), 9294 nucleotides. It is a transcript of the gene named division abnormally delayed protein, with no coding region annotated. The record is from RefSeq and is a predicted model, not a curated record. The transcript is spliced from 3 exons. NCBI's taxonomy places the organism in Eukaryota, Metazoa, Arthropoda, Insecta, Diptera, Tephritidae.